UUUUUCUUUUACUAAUUAUGAUUAUUAUCUACAACUUGAUGCUUUUGACUUCUCAAAAAUUGAUAAACUUACGAUAAAAGAUUUAGCAAAUUAUUUAUUUGAACCACAUACAAUAAUAAAUGUGCAACUAAAAGAGGCUUAAGAACAACAAAAGAACAAUACAGAUGUCUAUUGUAAGCAAUAACUUCAUUUCCACAUUGGUGAUUAGGUAUGGUUAUUUUAUUAUAAAACUAUUUGUCUUUAUAAUAAAUUAAAUUACCAUAGACUUCGACCAUUUUCUAUUUGUAAAGAAGUCAAUCUAUUUGUUUAUCAAUUAUAUCUAUCAGAGCCUAUAAAAAUCCAUCUUAUAUUUUACAUGUCUCUUUUAGAGCCAUAUAAGACACUAAAUAUCCCAAGAAGAAGAUAAAUACCAAAACUUUAUAUAGAAGUGGAUAAUAAUCAAGAAUUUGAAAUAGAAGAAAUCUUAGACUUAAGGCAAUGCCAACUUAGAUUAGAAUAUGUUAUUAAAUGGCAUAGAUAUAAUAUUAUCAAAUAUAUAUGUGAGAUAGCAAAAAAUCUUAUAAAUAGAGCAAAGUUGGUUGAAGCUUUUCAUUAAUAAUAUUUAUCAAAAUCAAAAAAAAGGUAGGCAACCUUUGCUAUAAAAGAAAUAUAAUUUAAAAAAGAUUGUAUUCUACCUUUUAUCUUUGUCUAUAAUUUUUGUAUAAUUGUGGUGUUAAGGAGAUAGACAACCAAUAGCUAAUAGAUUCAACUCAAGAGCCAUUAUUUGCUAACUUAUUAGAAAAGACAUUAUAAUUAUCAUAACCUUUAAGGUAAUAUAAUAGGAAUGAAGACCUUCAAGAAUGACAUAUUUUUUCUUAAAUAGUUGGUGAGAUAUAAUGCAUUUAGUAUCACAACCUAAAAAGAGAGUCUUGAUAUUUGGUGAUUUUAUUGGAAGCAGGAACAAUUCUUAAUUGUGUUACAAAUAUUUUAUACAUAUUGGUAGCUUACGAAACAAGCUAACUAUGUAGUAUCUAUAUAGAAAACUUGUGUUGCAAGUUAAGAUAUGUGUUGUACAAAGUCAAUAUAUUUUAGAAGUCUUAUAGAAUGUUGCUAUGUAGCUUCUACAUAGAUAGUAUAUAUAGAGAUAAGAAUGAAGCCUUCUUCAUUCUUGUCAAUUUCUUUCUUACUUCUACUCUAGUUUCAAGAAGACUCUAAUUUUCUUAUCUUUUGGCAAUAGCCAUUUCAAUUUUUUUUUAAUAUACAUACUUUCUUAUUUUUAUUUUAUUAUAUUUCUUUGAUAAAGUCUCAUUUUUUUAUUUUUUUAUUUUUUUCACCAAGUUCUUAUCUUUGAUAGAUAAAAGUAAUUGAAUAUUUUUUUUAAAAUAUAUUUUAAUUUAAUUGAUCUCACUAAUAUCCUAUUAUACUUUUUAGGCAUGUUUCAAUCAAAGGCAAUAGUUAAAAACUUACAUAAAAAUAUCAAUGAAUUGAACUUUGUAAUUAAUAUAGAGUUUUACAAAAUCCUUAACUUCCAAGGUAAUAAUAAUGUGAAAUAUGCAAAGAUCAUGUUUAAAAGGAUAGAUAUGAUAAUGUUUGUCUAUUUGAUUUAAAAUCUUGGCUUAAUGACAUGUACACGUUUUAUGAUUUUCUUAAAUAAAAAUUCCUUAUAUAUAAUCUAAGGUAUACUAAACAACAUUUUUAGCAUGACUUAUUGGUUGGCUAAAAAGAGCUUCAUAACAAAGACAGUGUAGCUUCAAUGGCUUAAAGAACCUCUUUGCUUAGUAAUGCAAUAUCCUAAUUAUCAACAUAUUGAAAGCACAAGUCAUGUAUAUAACUACAACAAAGACAACAAUAACCUAAAAAUUUAGGAAAGCCUUACAACAUUAAAAAAAAAAAAAAACAUUUAUAAGCUUAUUGCAUGUACAAUUGACAAGGUCCAAUCUUGUGACAACUUUAUGAUUUCUAAGAUCAAAGAUGCUUGGAUAAAUAUGUGAAAGCAAUACAAGUUCAAGGCCAUAAAAAAUAGCAUCUGCACAAAUGUGUUGAAAGCUAUCAAGAACCUCAACAAGACAUUCUUUCUUAAAUUUGCAACAAAGAUGGUCAAGCAUGUCAAUGCAACAAGGCAUGAUAAUAAUUUCAUGUAUAUAUGUAAGACCUUGAUUUGGUUUGGCAUUUUACUUGAUGUGAUCAACAAAUGAUAUAUGAAGCAACUCUUGUUUGAAUUGCAGUCAAUUGUUAUUAUGUACCAAUGUUCACUUAAAUAAAGAAAUUAUACCAUAUUUUUGUAUACUUGAAUAAAUUGAUCAUUAAAUUAUAAUGACAUUAAAAUUGAACUACUCCCAUAGUAUUGUUUAGACAUCUUAAUCUUUAAAAUUAUAAAUUUAAUUGGAUCUUAUUGUUAGUUAUAUAGAUUAUCUUUAUAGCCUCCUUGGUCAUGAAGUCUAACUUGUUAAUCAAUAAAAAACUUGUUCCAUAAGCCUUGGACUAAUUUAUAAGUUGUAUACAUAUAAAUUAUAGUCUAUACAUUAUUUAAAUAUAAAUAUAAAUAAUAUUAUUUAUAUUAUUUAAAAUAUUAUAUUAUCAAUAUAUAUUCUCAAUAAGAAAGAUAUAUACUAUAAAUUGGGCAUUUCUAGAGAUAAUUUACUAAUAAUAUGAUAGAUAAUAAGCACAAGUAUUAAUAUUGUUAAAAAAGCUUCAAUUAAAAUUAAUCUAUGAAUGUUAUAAGCUUUGUAGAUUAGCUACCAACCUUAUAAUAUUAUGCAACUAAUCCUCUUGUGUAUGUUAGUUCAUCAUUCAUUUUCUUAAUGACAUUACAAAGUUUUUUCAUGAUACACUUAUAUAUAUAUAUAUAUAUAUAUAUAUAUAUAUAUACUAUUUAACAACUACUUAUUGUGAUGGUUAUGGAGGUCUCAAUGCAAGGCAUUGGCUUAUGUUCCAUACUCAAUUUAAGUCAUCCCGACAUUAAUCUUUAUGGUAAUCUAUCUUGAGAUUCUAAAUUUUCAUAUAGAAGUAUCAAAUUAAAGCCUAAAUGUUAUUUGUGAGCUAUUUCAUAGUUGAGGCAUUAUUAUUAUUGUUUUUGUCCUUACUCGAAUAUAUUUGAAAGAAAUUUGAUUUUUAUGGCAUAAUCUUUGAAAUUCAUAAGAAUUUUUCCUAUAAUGCAUUGUUAAAUAAUAUUUAUAUUAUUUAUGAUUAAUACAUAAUUAUUGAGUAUUUGACAUUGGAGCUAUUAGUAUGGAGCUUAGUGUCCAAAGGCUAUAUUCACAUACGUCUAUAUGUAUUUUCAAUUCAAUAUUUAUUUUAGCAAUUUUUGCUAAAUUAAUUUGGCAUACUUAAACAAUGCUGCCAAAGUUAACUUACUCAAUCAAAACAAUUAAUACAAAACUAUUGUGAUUUGCUAAAAUAGUGAUCUUAUAUACAACUCAAAUACACUAAACUUAACUACUUCAUUUUCAUACAACUUGGAAAAGAAAACAUUAAGAUAUCCAAUCCAUUGUCAACUACCUCUCUAUUUCUAAUCUAUAAGGUGGGAUAUUUUCACUAAAUUGGUGACCUAUUGUUAACUAUUUCUAAUAUUUUGUGGUUGGAAAUAGGUUAAGGACAUAGCAAAAAUGAUGUUAAAUUGUGAGCAAUAUAAACAAUACAUUGUACUUAGAAUAGAUUUUUAUAAACUAUUUAAAUCAAUUUUUGCAUCAGUGGAAUUAUACAUAAAUAGCAGUUGAUUAUGCAUUGAUAAAUUAGGGAGUUGGUGAAGCAAAAUUGGAAGAUAGAAGAUGUGUAAGAUAUUGUUUGGAAUUGAGCAAAAACAAGAAAGAAUGGUGGCAAAAAUCCAACUCAAUUAUAGUGAAUUACUCUCAAUACAAUAUUUGAAUUUUUGUUGCCUCAUCCACACAUUUGCAUUUGUAAGUAGUACAAAAUUUGGUGAAGUUUGGUAGAUUAACAAAUGCUACACAUCAUGGUUUUGAAAAAGUUGGAUUCUUCAUUUUAUAACCUACAGUUGGUCAGAAUUAAAUAGGCCUAUAUGUCCAGUAUAGAGUAGAGAAGAUAAUCUUUAGCUAAAACAUUUAUAUAAAUUCUGUUUUUGGACACACAAUUUUACUAUUUUUUUCUAUUUUUACAUGUACUGUAUACAUGUAUGCUGAAAUGCUUAAGUUAUUGGAAAUGAGUUGUCUACCUACCUUGACCAAAACGAGCGUCUCCAAGCAAUCGACAAUCAAAUGAUCCAGACUGAAUCAAGGUCACGUCACUCCAUAAUUCAGGGAAUAGGUAACUUGCACAGAAGCUGCUUCUAGAUUCCAGUUAACCGUGAUGCUUCGCCGUCGCGUUUGUCAACAACAGUUGGCUUCGACUGUAUCUCACCGACUGAAUGUGCACCUUACUAUUGACCGGUUUCCCAUACAAGAUUGUUAGUCGAGCACACAUUGAAGUAUACUCUGCCUUUGAGUUGCUUUCUGUGGUGAAUGGCUGACACGAGCAGGCCUGUGCUACGAUGAUUUUGCAACCAAUUUUCGCAUACCCUUUCUAAAAUUCUCAGCACUGUUUGCACAAUGGAGUCUCCGGAGCCAGUUGCAACAGCGCAGACUUGUGAAGAGGACCGAACGUUCAUGGUAUACGUUGACUUCCCGGUGCCGCUCCGAAGACGAUGCUUCGAGAGCAUUAUAGAUCACCCGUUACUUGGAUUGUGAUGACGUUUCUAGGUGGAUUGUUGGUGAUAGUUAUUUUAAUUAUAAUUGUGAAUGUUCGUGGUUCUCUCCGGUGACAAUCAUUACAGGUGUAAUCUGCCUAUGUUUAAUUAACCUAAUUUUACUUAGCUGCCACCAAGCACCAGGUACAUCGCUGUAGGCCUUGGACUUAUACGACUCGAAUGAUGGAUGUCGUGAGGAGAACCCAUUUAAUGGAUUGUGUUGUCGAUUGAAGAUUUCUGUAACUUAGCGUUCACGGCUAAACCGGAACCAGUUUUUGGUUUGUGAAUUCCUGAAUAAAAACAUGAAAUGGGUUGUGUCCACCUCAACUGUACCUAUCACUAGUUUCACACUGUUACCAGGGUGCUAACUUUCUUUCAACCAGCGUUGAAACUUUUUCGGGGUUUCACAGUGUCUGAGAUAGCGCGUCCAUCUCUAACACGCAAGGGGUGGUCUACCGGCAGAUAGUCAUAUGCGUUGGCUUGACCGUUCAUCUUCACAAGCGAUUGAUUUGUUUAAUUGUCUUUUAACAUCAUCACAAGAUCAUAAUCUAGAUUUUCGAAGGUGGACCACGAGACUUUCUUCGAUAAGAUAGCUUCUCUGGAAUCAACCAGCACCUCAAACCGUGAGGAUAUAGUGAUGAACAUGAAUCAAUCUUCAGUCCUGAGGCUUCAGAUGUUUCAAAUUAUAUUAAUGGGAAGCCAAACAAAAGAAGUCGCCUUGUUUCAAGCCAUACUUGGCAGGUUUGUGAAGUAGAAAAAAGAGGAACUGUUGUUUACCGAAUCUCUGACUGGUAAGAAAGGAGUGAGUCUCAAUACCUAUGUCAAGUUGCUCGAUCUCUCUGCCGCAAGUUACUCGGGGCCUCUGACCGUGGGCACCAAUCUUCCAAGCAGCUAUUCCCAGUCUGCAAGACCUCAAUAAACGCAUUUUUACGACCACGUUCUUGUGAAUGAUUUCGUUCGUACCCACGUUCUUGUAAAUGAUUCCAUUCAUACCACGUUCAUGAUUGAAUAGUGUACUGUUCAGGUUUUUAAUGCUUCUUCAGGAUGUUUGACCUGUGUGAACGAUCGACGAAAAUACGUUGAGCUGAGUUUGCAAGGAAACGAUUUCUACUCAUUGUUUAUUCCAUAGAAAAUACCGUGUAUAUGUAAAAUGUCGAGCACCCUUAAAAAUGGACGUAAAUCACGUAUAAACAGAAUUAUACAUCCUACAAGUUAUCUUCCCUUUUAGAUGGUCUAGGAAUCCUUCGUCAUCCAUAGAAAUAUUAUUACGAAAAUUUCCAAAUUCCAAGUAGACGCAUCGCACACAAUGAUGCGGAUCAAUUCGGGAUUCAUUUCGUGCUAAACUGAUCCUUGACACCGAUCAAUUUUGAUACGGCUAUUUAGCAGUUGUUGAUUGCACCUUUCGGGAACGACUUGAAGGCGAUCUUGUGAGGUUGCAGAGCCUUGCAGCCAUAACCAGUGCGGUGGGCAAAGUUUGAGAGGACUAGUUCUAUCGUUGUCAACAGCAUUAACAUCGGCCCCAUGCUGAAUGAGGUACUUAGGGGCUGGUUCUUGCCCAUGAAGUGUUGCAUGAUUCAGUGCUGUCCGUCCCUCAAAAACUCGCAGUGUUUAUGACGAGGAGAGUGUGAUGAGGUAGCAUGAAAGUCAAAAUGCCCGCACCAGAUGAAGUUUUGAGAACUACCACAGUUACCUUUUUGUGGAUCUCUGCGCCCUUCGCUAUGAGUAUCUUCAUUACAUUUAGCUCUCCACGGCUUGCGGCCAAAAUUAACGGCGUGCGACCAUCGCCAUCUGCAUGUAACAGCACCGUCGUCAAACCAUAUUCAAGCGUGCUUGGACAGGGAAUGAACGUUGCAAACGUUCUCAAAGAGUGAAUGUGCGGACUAAAAUUAGUUAUACCGGGGCAUAGUGUAAUGACACUCGCUGUACCCGAAUGUUCUCUCGAUCAGGAUUGACAGAGAAUUCAGCUGUGGUCAGAAAAACAGAAAGUAGACACACCUUUCGUAUCAAUAGACGAUCCCAAGUCAGUAAGUUCUCUAAGAUGUUCUAAGUCACCUUCUAUUACACACACGUGAAUUGACUCCACAAUGCUGCAAAAAGACAAGCAUGGCCAAUAUUGGCAUACCAUUCCAAUGAACAGAGUCUAGAAACUAGACAUGCUCAUGAAGGUCAGGAUCAGAGCAGUAUCCCACCACAAAACUAUUGGUUCAGUAAGGCUGUUGAGAAUUGCUCGUCCAUACAAACAACUCGGCAUCCAGUUUCCAAAGUACUACAUAGACACCGAAAAUUGCAAAUGAUGUAAUCAUUUUGGAUUGUGAUUGCAAAAUCAUAUGCAGUAUAAUCAUUAGGUCCAAAAGAAAAACGUUUUUUUAGGUUGGUACUGGUCAUAGAGGUCUCAAUUCACUGCUCAUAAUCACUACUUUGAGGAAACAGCUGCAGUGAAAACGUCCUCUUCUUGUCCUCCUCCACUCGUGAUUAGCUUGCUCAACCCUGGCAAUGCAUCCAUCUCACCACCUGACUGAACUGUCCCGAUCAUUUUGAUCCACUACUCUUGCGGGCUCUUUGCUCUGCUCGAUUUGCAUGCACUCAGUGAAACUUCGUCAAAACUCAGCAGUUAAUAACUGACCAAUCAUAUCAAAGUAUGUUCGCUAACAAUACCCAACAGCUCUACAUAUCCAUGACAUAAAGUAAAUGCUAAACGAACCUCUGACCCAUGACUAUCUGCGUUGAGAAACUGUAUAAAGACAAAUCCCUAAAAAAGGAGAAAAUACAAUACAUGCUUCAAAUAUUACUGAUAUGAGAUACCUACCUUCUGGUAGGUUUCAUAACAAGUAGAAUUGACCUCGGUCAAAACAGCGAUGUACUUCUGCAUAGCUUCUUCUUGAGGCAUACUUCCAAGCUUCUGCCACUCAUUCCUUGCAAAAAAUAGAAACAACCACAAUAUUCUCUACAUUCAAAUUUGGAUGCCAAAGCGCUUAUGUCACAAUGGCCUACUACCAUCAGUUAUCAAUAAUGUCAUACUUCAGGCUAUUCCGUCAAACAAAAAUUUAGUGUUGACAUGUUAUCGAAGCAAACAAUUUUGAACAUAUUGGCAAGUUGCAAGUGCAUUUGAUCCACAUACUUGUCAAAACCUGCGACUGCAGUUUUUCCGACAAAUUCUUAAAUCCCAGAUCUAUGCCACUCUUGAUAAUCCGGUUGGUCGUUGCCCUUUAAUUGCAAAAAAACUCCACUUCCAACUAUGAUUUUUAAAGCAUAGAGGAUUUACCAUUUGGCACGGGCAGUCGGCUGCAAAAUCGAUGGCUGUGGAUUAGAGCAAGGGCCUUCAGUGGCUAUUUUGUAGAAGGCAUACAACUGUAGCAAUGCCUCGCUUGAAGACUUCACAUUCGGUGAAACAACCAUUGUACUUGCAUAGGUGGAAGCAGCCCCAAAACGUUUCUCAAGUUCGGUGCUUUCUAUGGCCUCCCAAUCAUCCGUUGCACUCCGAGACACCUCCAGCUCAUCUUCAACAUCACCAUUGGCCUGUUCAUUCUGCAGAAACGAUGACCAAAUUCAAGAUUUUAGAGACGCAACUUGGCAAGAUUUGCAUUAGCAGCGAGGGCAUCACUUGCUUUUAAAGAGAUGGCGAACCUUUUUGUCCAAAUCUGUGCAAUCCCACAUGCCAUGUAGGUGUAAUUCUUACUAUGUGCAUUUUGAAGGAUUCUGCAUUCUGAAAUUAGUGAUCUAGCAAAUCUCUGUUAGAAAGAUGGAACAUUAUGAUAAUGCUGAAAAAUCUUAGGAUCCUAAACAUACUUCCAUGGUGCAUUUAAUGCAGAUUGCACCUAAAAUUCGCUCCCAAUGGCAGUUAAAAAAAUGCCCAAAUUUAUACCAGGAUUGCACAGCUUCGAACUUCAUUAGUAACAAAAAGCUUCAAAGAUAAGUUCCCAAAGCCAUCAUGGGUUUUUAUAUUUCUGUUUUAUUCUUAAUUUUUUUAGAAACUACAAUUUCAGAAACUCCACCUCGACUCUUCAAGUAAUUAAUUAUAGUCAACUUUUACAUUCACUCUUUUUACAAGCACCUCAAAAAAAAAUCUCAUAUCCCAAAGAUUCUUAAAAUUCCAAUACUACAUCCUAACUACUUGGUCCAAUAUAAAAUUUAAAAAGUAGGUCUACUUAAACCACACUUCAAAGAUCAACCCGCAUCUGAAAUUCCUGUUGCUGGUGUGCAUAAAUAUUUAAACCAACACUUUUCACUUCUGAAGAAUGUCCACUAAAUGCCAGAAUAAAACUUUCAAGUAUGUACAAGUAAACAAGACCUGAGACCCUGUCAUCAGGUAGUACUCAAUAAGGUUGAACUAAGUUGACCACAUUGUUUACAGACUAUCCCAAGUUGUCGCGUACUAAUCGCCGAGAAAAAUCUCCAUACCAUAUCCACACGAAAAAUAUCGAACAGACAAGAUGCCUUGAGGAUCAAUGCACAGGAAGGAGGAUUGAACUCAAAUCAACCGACAAAAGACGUGAGAUGGAAUGGAGGAGAUGAUUCAAAAAACGUACCAAGGAUUUCAAAGAAUGCUCGCCUGAUAUACUGACAUGCUUCGUUUCAAUAUUUUCAUCUUCUGCACCCUCAUCUUUCUCAAAUUCUGCUAAUUCAUCCUUCGUAGCGUCUACUUUAUUAUCCUUAGACUCCACCUUUGAAACAGUAGGAUUGAUGGCACUAUCAAUUUCACGAGGACUACAGGCUGCUGUAGCAUCGGUCUCGACUUCGGAAUCAGGGGAAGACAAACUCGAAAAGUCAUGAGCACUAUCUUCUAGUUCGCUAUCUCCAUCAGCUUCUGUUUCCUCAUCAGUCGCGACAAGAGGAGUAUUUUGUUCAUGAGCAGGUGAAAGUUCCGCAGCCUCAGAAGGCACGAGUAGCGGAACCUCAUCAUCUGUCUCUCGUGCUACUCGCAAAUUUCCAGCACGGAAAGAGGAUAUCACCGAAAACAGCAUCACCACCAUGCACGUGAAGACAAAACCUAUGAUAAUGGUCUGCAUUUUCUCCUGCCAAUCCCCCAUUGCUGCAAUUAUCGUAUCACCGACACGAUGUCCACUAUCAAGGAAUUCCUCAGAAACUUCUCACACUCUAACUUCUCUGCUCACCAGCGCUUGCUGCAACACGAUCCACCUAGACAAACACAAUCACGCCCUUCAUUCCUCAAACUCCACCAACAGCUCUAACAUGAUUCAAGACAUGGCCCGUUUAGCACUUUGAACAAAUCCAAAUCAACUGCCUCACGCAUGUCGCCUUUUUUUUUUUUCUGACCUGGCCCUCCCUAGUUUAACUCAACUUCCCAAGUCUCUCUAGACUCUACUCUCCCUAUCCUGAGGCAAAUCUCAAUCCAAUUUUCAAUAUACGUCUCCUUCAUCAUUUGUCACUCACCCACGAGUUUACCACUUAGCAUUCUACAACAGUGGACCCGGAAUUGGAUCGAUCAGAUGUAUCACUUAAACAGAAAAUAACGAAUUCUAACUUGAGCUCCAAGUUACGGGCACGUCAAAACCACGACAUCUGAACGACAGUGCCCAUGAAAACUUGUGAAGAGAGUCCCGCAACCUGGCCAAACUGUGGUGUAGGCUAAAUUUAGUCUGAAGUAAAUCGAAAUUCAACCAGAAAUGAAACAACCUUACGUGCUAACAUCAGUAAAUGUACACCUUCUGCCACUUAACUUCGUCAGUUCUUCGGAUCGGUUAGAAUAACUGCAAAACUCAAGAGACAAACGCCAAAAUUAGUUCACUGCCAUGGCGGGCCAGAUCAAGUUUAAAAGACAAGAACUCCAUCAAAAGGUCCUGAUGGCAGUGUGAACCGGCUCAGGAGAAGGUUAAUUUGACAUCAUUCAUUGAUACUGGCCGGGUAACGGAUGAGGGUAUCUAAGUUGAAUGGUAGUCCUAAGUAUGAACCAUAGCAGUUCCUAGGUAGCCCAGAUAUCGAAUGCGAUUCCCGAACAAAUUACGCAACAACCAUUUUGACCAAUUUUCUACAUCUACAAUCCGCACCAACUUUAAAGCUUUUGUACUGCUAAAAGGUACAAUCCAACCAAACCGAUACAGAUAAAGCUAAACUAGAUAAACCAUAUCAAUCAUUCACCAACCACCAAAGGCGAAUAAUAAACUUUUACUUUUUCAAAAAUCCGAAACUGCUGAAAGAAUCCGCCUUUGAGGAAAUUUUCCGCAUGCCUUGAUCGGUCCAAUACCCUCGUUCAACUAUUGAAGAUGGCCGGGGAAAAUAAAUAAAAAUGGAAAGUCAGAAGAGAAAAGUGAAAUUGAAUCGGAGCCGUUACUUUUGGGGUCUAAAAAGUAGGCGAGACCAACACGGUACCUUUCUAAGGCCUUUUUCUCGCAGCGCAGCGCUUUCCUACCCAAAUCCGAGCCUAGGGUUUCUUCAGCAGCUCCGCUGCUUCAAUCGCGCUGGCUAUGGUAGUGGGAAAUGGCCUCGGCUAUGGCGUCUCGUCGUAGUGUACGUCGCGCUCUCGCUUUCUGUGUCCUGAAAUUUCCGAAAUAACUCUAGGAAGUCGAUUUUUAUUUUUGGUUUUUCUAAAGUUCUUGGUUCUUCCAUGAUGAGUCCAUUUGAUGAGGGCGGAACAUGGCGAUUAUGGAUUUAUCAUGGGGCAUGAGAAGGAAGGUGGUGGUCUUUCAGUUGGCCGUUUUGAUGCCACGAAGGGUACGAAUUAGGAGGAUUGUUAUUUGAAAUCGCAGGAAGCGCUAUGUUGUGACUUGCUGAAGAAGAUUGCUUAUGCAUUUGUCGUGCGGAUUGCCUUCGUUGUUGCGCAGUUUUCUUUUGCACGAGAAUUCGGGGAUGUGGAGGUGGAAUAGGCAGCGGUGGAGGACGCCAAGUUCGUCGUUCAAAGGUACAUGUUCGUCUCUACUUCCUCUCUGUUGAGAUGUCGUGAAAUGGACAAUUACUACGAAGGAAAAAAAGAAAAAAGAAACUAAACUAAAAAAAAACUAAAAAAUAAGCGAACUUCUAAAGUUUACGAUGGAAAUACGAAAAAAUGUUGUAAUCACUUGAAUUUCUAGCGGCAAUAAGUCGGACUUCGAAGCAAGUGCGUCCUUGUAGUGGAUCAAUCUCAAUUUCUUACUUUUCCCCUAAAACGAACGCGUAUCCCGUAAACUCACGGAAGGUUUUCUACUUCCUUCGACAAGAUUUUAAUCAGUGUUUUCGCGGGUCUGUAGGUC
This 11841-nucleotide long non-coding RNA is filed under the name Physcomitrium patens. RNAcentral's name for it is "long non-coding RNA (PPAT_LNC001445)". Lineage: Eukaryota; Viridiplantae; Streptophyta; Bryopsida; Funariales; Funariaceae. The record is from RNAcentral.